GGAAUCUUAGACAAUGGGGGAAACCCUGAUCUAGCCAUGCCGCGUGAGUGACGAAGGCCUUAGGGUCGUAAAUCUCUUUCGCCCGGGAAGAUAAUGACUGUACCUGGUAAAGAAACCCCGUCUAACUCCGUGCCCGCAGCCGCGGUAAUACGGCGGGGGGUAGCGUUGUUCGGAAUUACUGGGCGUAAAGCGCGCGUAGGCGGACUAUUAAGUCAGGGGUGAAAUCCCGGGGCUCAACCCCGGAACUGCCUUUGAUACUGGUAGUCUUGAGUUCGAGAGAGGUGAGUGGAAUUCCGAGUGUAGAGGUGAAAUUCGUAGAUAUUCGGAGGAACACCAGUGGCGAAGGCGGCUCACUGGCUCGAUACUGACGCUGAGGUGCGAAAGCGUGGGGAGCAAA
This 397-nucleotide ribosomal RNA is filed under the name uncultured bacterium. RNAcentral's name for it is "bacterial SSU rRNA". It matches the Rfam family "Bacterial small subunit ribosomal RNA", at positions 358 to 772 of the family's 1533-position model. The record is from RNAcentral.